GUCGGAAUUGCUAGUAAUCGCGGAUCAGCAUGCCGCGGUGAAUACGUUCCCGGGCCUUGUACACACCGCCCGUCACACCAUGGGAGCCGGUAAUACCCGAAGUCAGUAGUCCAACCUCGUGAGGACGCUGCCGAAGGUAGGAUUGGCGACUGGGGUGAAGUCGUAACAAGGUAUC
Molecule: ribosomal RNA, 175 nt
Filed under: uncultured bacterium
Lineage: Bacteria
Description: partial 16S ribosomal RNA
Rfam family: Bacterial small subunit ribosomal RNA
Source: RNAcentral